Molecule: long non-coding RNA, 296 nt
Organism: Etheostoma spectabile (orangethroat darter)
Lineage: Eukaryota; Metazoa; Chordata; Actinopteri; Perciformes; Percidae
Exons: 2
Source: RefSeq, a predicted model, not a curated record
GGGUCACUUUAAUAUAAAAUGAAGAUGUAGAACAGUUUAGCAGUAAACAGUGAAGUAUUACCUCCAGUUUGGUUGAAGCUCUGCUUCAUGCGAUUGAUCCAGACUUUGAAAAAGUUAGGCUGAUGCUCAAAACACUCUGUGUACAUUUCCAAAAGCUGAGGAUUGUUUUCUAAGAGUGUUUUCACCCAGUCCUGUUUGGGUUCUAGUAUCUUUUUGUUGGUGUCGCAGUAACCCACCAGAAGAUCAUCCACCACUGCAGUAGCCAUAAACUCUGGGAGGUUUGGGACUCCAGAAGA